UACGAAGGGGACUAGCGUUGUUCGGAUUUACUGGGCGUAAAGCGCGCGUAGGCGAAUCGCUAAGUCAGGGGUGAAAUCCCAAGGCUCAACCUUGGAACUGCCUUUGAUACUGACGAUCUGGAGAUUGGGAGAGGUGAGUGGAAUUCCGAGUGUAGAGGUGAAAUUCGUAGAUAUUCGGAGGAACACCAGAAGCGAAGGCGGCUCACUGGCCCAAUACUGACGCUGAGGCGCGAAAGCGUGGGGAGCAAACAGG
Molecule: ribosomal RNA, 253 nt
Filed under: uncultured bacterium
Lineage: Bacteria
Description: partial 16S ribosomal RNA
Rfam family: Bacterial small subunit ribosomal RNA
Source: RNAcentral